UCGCGUCAAGCGCCGUAGGCAGGAGCGGGGGACCCAAGGUAAGUGCCCGACCGGCCGGUUGUGCCGGAAGGGCUUGGGGUGAAGCCGUGUCCCGGGAGGGGCGCGGCCGGGCAACUCAACCGGCCCGAACCCGACAGCUCACCUCGCAGGCGUCGGUGAGGGGAUCU
Molecule: small RNA, 167 nt
Filed under: Streptomyces afghaniensis
Lineage: Bacteria; Bacillati; Actinomycetota; Actinomycetes; Kitasatosporales; Streptomycetaceae
Also listed under: 1 other name
Description: c-di-AMP sequence
Rfam family: c-di-AMP riboswitch aptamer (ydaO/yuaA leader)
About the family: This family represents a conserved RNA structure found upstream of the ydaO and yuaA genes in Bacillus subtilis and related genes in other bacteria. The ydaO/yuaA element is thought to act as a genetic "off" switch for the ydaO and yuaA genes in its native state.
Source: RNAcentral